RNAcentral lists this ribosomal RNA (547 nucleotides) under Penicillium commune. Its description in RNAcentral is "eukaryotic LSU rRNA". The stretch from base 210 to 362 matches the Rfam family "5.8S ribosomal RNA". Lineage: Eukaryota; Fungi; Ascomycota; Eurotiomycetes; Eurotiales; Aspergillaceae. The record is from RNAcentral.
CUUCCGUAGGGUGAACCUGCGGAAGGAUCAUUACCGAGUGAGGGCCCUCUGGGUCCAACCUCCCACCCGUGUUUAUUUUACCUUGUUGCUUCGGCGGGCCCGCCUUAACUGGCCGCCGGGGGGCUUACGCCCCCGGGCCCGCGCCCGCCGAAGACACCCUCGAACUCUGUCUGAAGAUUGAAGUCUGAGUGAAAAUAUAAAUUAUUUAAAACUUUCAACAACGGAUCUCUUGGUUCCGGCAUCGAUGAAGAACGCAGCGAAAUGCGAUACGUAAUGUGAAUUGCAAAUUCAGUGAAUCAUCGAGUCUUUGAACGCACAUUGCGCCCCCUGGUAUUCCGGGGGGCAUGCCUGUCCGAGCGUCAUUGCUGCCCUCAAGCCCGGCUUGUGUGUUGGGCCCCGUCCCCCGAUCUCCGGGGGACGGGCCCGAAAGGCAGCGGCGGCACCGCGUCCGGUCCUCGAGCGUAUGGGGCUUUGUCACCCGCUCUGUAGGCCCGGCCGGCGCUUGCCGAUCAACCCAAAUUUUUAUCCAGGUUGACCUCGGAUCAGG